GCCGAGAUGGCGGAACCGGCAGACGCGUCGGUCUCAAAAACCGAUGAGGGCAACCUCGUGGGGGUUCGACUCCCCCUCUCGGCACCA
RNAcentral lists this transfer RNA (87 nucleotides) under Chloroflexota bacterium. RNAcentral describes it as "Chloroflexi bacterium tRNA-Leu". It matches the Rfam family "tRNA". From Rfam's summary of the family: Transfer RNA (tRNA) molecules are approximately 80 nucleotides in length. Their secondary structure includes four short double-helical elements and three loops (D, anti-codon, and T loops). Lineage: Bacteria; Bacillati; Chloroflexota. The record is from RNAcentral. RNAcentral also lists the same sequence under 1 other name.